GUGUCAGCAGCCGCGGUAAUACGGAGGAUCCGAGCGUUAUCCGGAUUUAUUGGGUUUAAAGGGUGCGUAGGUGGAUUGAUAAGUCAGUGGUGAAAGUUUGCAGCUUAACUGUAAAAUUGCCGUUGAAACUGUCGGUCUUGAGUGCAAAUAAGGUAGGCGGAAUGUGUUGUGUAGCGGUGAAAUGCAUAGAUAUGACACAGAACUCCGAUUGCGAAGGCAGCUUACCGGGAUGCAACUGACACUGAGGCACGAAAGCGUGGGUAUCAAACAGGAUUAGAUACCCCCGUAGUCC
RNAcentral lists this ribosomal RNA (292 nucleotides) under uncultured prokaryote. RNAcentral's name for it is "partial 16S ribosomal RNA". It matches the Rfam family "Bacterial small subunit ribosomal RNA", at positions 505 to 796 of the family's 1533-position model. The record is from RNAcentral.